GGUAGUUGGGGGUGGUGGGAGAAGGAGGCGGCGAAUCACUUAUAAAUGGCGCCCAAGCAGGACCCGAAGCCCAAGUUCCAGGAGGGCGAACGAGUACUGUGCUUUCAUGGCCCUCUUCUUUAUGAAGCAAAGUGUGUAAAGGUUGCCAUAAAGGACAAACAAGUAAAAUACUUUAUACACUACAGUGGUUGGAAUAAAAAUUGGGAUGAGUGGGUUCCAGAAAGCAGAGUGCUCAAGUAUGUGGAUACCAAUCUGCAGAAACAGCGUGAACUUCAAAAGGCCAAUCAGGAGCAGUAUGCAGAGGGAAAGAUGAGAGGGGCUGCUCCAGGGAAGAAGACAUCCGGUCUGCAACAGAAAAAUGUUGAAGUGAAAACUAAAAAGAACAAACAAAAAACCCCUGGUAAUGGAGAUGGUGGCAGUACCAGUGAAACACCUCAGCCUCCUCGGAAGAAGAGGGCCCGGGUUGAUCCUACUGUUGAAAAUGAAGAAACAUUUAUGAACAGAGUUGAAGUUAAAGUAAAGAUCCCUGAAGAGCUAAAGCCUGGCUUGUUGAUGACUGGGAUCUGAUCACCAGACAGAAACAGCUGUUCUAUCUUCCUGCUAAGAAGAAUGUGGACUCCAUUCUAGAGGACUAUGCAAAUUAUAAGAAAUCCCAAGGAAACACAGAUAAUAAGGAGUAUGCUGUUAAUGAGGUGGUAGCAGGGAUAAAAGAAUACUUCAAUGUGAUGCUGGGCACUCAGCUCCUCUACAAAUUUGAGAGACCACAGUACGCUGAGAUCCUUGCUGAUCACCCUGAUGCACCCAUGUCCCACGUGUAUGGAGCACCACAUCUACUGAGAUUAUUUGUCCGAAUUGGAGCAAUGUUGGCCUAUACACCUCUGGAUGAGAAGAGCCUUGCUUUAUUACUGAAUUAUCUUCAUGAUUUCCUCAAGUAUCUGGCAAAGAAUUCGGCAACUUUGUUUAGUGCCAGUGAUUAUGAAGUGGCCCCUCCUGAGUACCAUCGGAAAGCAGUGUGAGGCACACUCACCGGUGUUUGGAUCUCUGUCAACAUGUUUUUGUUCCUAGUCUUUCUCUUGUACAAAUGAUGUACUUUGAAGAUGUUAGUGUAUAACAGAGUUGUUUGUUUUGUUUGAUUUUAAACAGAAAAUAAAAGGGGUUACAGCUCCUUUUUUCUUUCUUUUUUUCAUUGCAAAGUUGCUA
RNA transcript from Octodon degus (degu), 1200 nucleotides. It is a transcript of the gene named mortality factor 4-like protein 1 pseudogene, with no coding region annotated. The transcript has a single exon. Lineage: Eukaryota; Metazoa; Chordata; Mammalia; Rodentia; Octodontidae. The record is from RefSeq and is a predicted model, not a curated record.